AGAGAAAUUUGGAUUAAUACCUCAUAGUGUUAUUAGAUGGCAUCAUUUGAUAACUAAAGUUCCAACGGUAAAAGAUGGGCAUGCGUCUAUUAGCUAGAUGGUAAGGUAACGGCUUACCAUGGCUACGAUAGGUAGGGGUCCUGAGAGGGAGAUCCCCCACACUGGUACUGAGACACGGACCAGACUCCUACGGGAGGCAGCAGUGAGGAAUAUUGGACAAUGGGCGCAAGCCUGAUCCAGCCAUGCCGCGUGCAGGAAGAAGCAUCUAUGGUGUGUAAACUGCUUUUGUACGGGAAGAAACACUCCUACGUGUAGGAGCUUGACGGUACCGUAAGAAUAAGGAUCGGCUAACUCCGUG
Molecule: ribosomal RNA, 358 nt
Filed under: uncultured bacterium
Lineage: Bacteria
Description: bacterial SSU rRNA
Rfam family: Bacterial small subunit ribosomal RNA
Source: RNAcentral